AUGAACGCUGGCGGCGUGCCUAAUACAUGCAGGUCGAGCGCACGGACGAGAAGCUUGCUUCUCUGAUGUUAGCGGCGGACGGGUGAGUAACACAUGGAUAACCUACCUAUAAGACUGGGAUAACUUCGGGAAACCGGAGCUAAUACCGGAUAAUAUUUUGAACCGCAUGGUUCAAAAGUGAAAGACGGUCUUGCUGUCACUUAUAGAUGGAUCCGCGCUGCAUUAGCUAGUUGGUAAGGUAACGGCUUACCAAGGCAACGAUGCAUAGCCGACCUGAGAGGGUGAUCGGCCACACUGGAACUGAGACACGGUCCAGACUCCUACGGGAGGCAGCAGUAGGGAAUCUUCCGCAAUGGGCGAAAGCCUGACGGAGCAACGCCGCGUGAGUGAUGAAGGUCUUCGGAUCGUAAAACUCUGUUAUUAGGGAAGAACAUAUGUGUAAGUAACUGUGCACAUCUUGACGGUACCUAAUCAGAAAGCCACGGCUAACUACGUG
Molecule: ribosomal RNA, 496 nt
Filed under: uncultured bacterium
Lineage: Bacteria
Description: partial 16S ribosomal RNA
Rfam family: Bacterial small subunit ribosomal RNA
Source: RNAcentral